ACAUGACAUAACAACAGGACCAACAAAAACCUGCUCUAAAGUCAUGGUGCAGUAUUUCCAUGCUAUUUAAAGGCUACAUUAGUAAGAUCGUGAGAUGCACAGACACAGACAGGUGGAAAUAACUCUUUAAAGUGUGUUUAAUGUCUGCUGUUAUUUCUGUCCCAAAAGGCAGAGAAAAUCAGAAACUGCUGCUGCUAGAUUUAAACACAGUUUACAUGUAUCAACAGUAAACACAUCACUCAACUGUCUCUGACAUGAUGAUGCCUUCAAGGACUCUCAGUAAACACAUCACUCAACUGUCUCUGACAUGAUGAUGCCUUCAAGGACUCUCAGUAAACACAUCACUCAACUGUCUCUGACAUGAUGAUGCCUUCAAGGACUCUCAGUAAAUGCAUCACUCAACUGUCUCUGACAUGAUGAUGCCUUCAAGGACUCUCAGUAAACACAUCACUCAACUGUCUCUGACAUGAUGAUGCCUUCAAGGACUCUCUGUCCCUUUAAGCCUGCUUCACUUCGCUCUCAUUGCCUUACUGCAUGGAUUCAUUUUGGAAAUCUGCUUGGAUUAUUACUCUGCUUUGUCUUGCUGGCGUUCUCCACCUGCAGCCUGCGCUCACCUGCUGCUACCUGCCUGCCUACCUGCUAUCACUCCUAGCCUGGGUCAGGUACCUCUUCAUAGGCGUAGAUUUCGGGGGGGACGCAGGGGAUGUGUCCCACCCAAUAUUUAGAAAAGGUAGAUUUGUCCCUGUUAGGUGGGGGUUAUUUCUGUAGUAGAUGGACAAUUAUGAAAUCGUGAAACAGACUGUGGAUCAUCUUAGAUUUAUUCAGCCAUGGUCAGACAACACAGAAACACAACACACAUGACAAAGUGCAGACCAUCGCUGACCCAUGCUGACCAAGAUCUCACAAUCAUUGACAAUCAUUGGCAAAGUGGCCAUCAUGGGCAAAAUGGUAAAAUGGCAAAAUGGCCAAUGGCAAAAUGAAUGAAUCCAUGAAAAUACGUACUAACAGUUCCCCCGUUUUUAAUAUUUAGCUUUAUUUUUCUUUAAAGGGAGAAAAGUUUGAACAUGAUUUUAAUUUCUCUUUGAGGUGUUUACCAAUUAUCUUCUUUAAGUACAUGGCCUCUGAGUUUCACCCAUGACAGACAAUAACAUUGUUUUAACACUGUCCACAUAACAUCAAAAUGUUUUAGGAGUGGUUAGAAAACAUAUGUAAAGAUCACAGGUCACAUACUUGCAUACAAGAUACCAAAACUUAACAGAAAAGGUAGAAAACCUUUAAUGUUCUAUUUGGAAACUCAGAUCAUGUUCAGUUUCAAAGAAUGAAAUCUAAAGAUAUUGUCAGUGGUGAAUUUACAGAACAUUUGAAAACAAAGAUGUUUAAAUAAUCAAAACUUAAUGUAUUUAAUGAUAUCUAAAACAUUCUUAGAUCAAACCAAAAUCAAAUACUUUAUAUCACAUCCCGCACUUUUUUAAUUCAUCUUAUUUUUAUGUUUUUUAUUUGUUUAUUUAUUUUUUUUGCUAUUUAUUUUUACAACAAUAGAUAAAAUGUUUAAGCGGAUAUGUAUUUUAGAAAGAUAAUCAAUAGAAUGGAAGCAACAUGUUUCAUUGUUCCCUCGAAUGCUCUUUUAUUUUCGAGUCAUUGCACAGAUGCAAACCUUAAGUGUAACUCAACCAAAAUGUUUAAAUCACGGUGCUUGAUUGUGUUGCUGUUAUUGUUAUCUGGCGAUGUUCAGUUUAACCCUGGUCCUGAUUUUAAUUGUAUUCAAACUGCUGCUGAUUUUAGCUUAAGAUCUGGUCUGGGUAUUAUUCAUUUAAAUGUCCGUAGUCUUCUACCUAAAAUAUACUUUUUUAGAGUUUGGGCACAGACAACUAAUGCUGAUAUAAUUGUAAUUUCUGAGAGUUGGUUGAACAAAUCUAUUAAUGAUAGUGUUGUUUCUAUUAAUGGGUACAAUAUAAGUCGUGCUGAUCGUGUUAAACGUGGUGGUGGAAUAAUUGUGUAUUCUAAAUGUAAAUUCCACACUAAAGUAUUGGUCAAGAAGUCAAUACCUAAUCAGUUUGAAAUUCUAGCUUUACAGGUUGAGUUGUCCAAGGGCUGUCAUAUUACUGUUGUUGGUUGCUACAGACCUCAUUCUGCAGCUAAGGAAACCUUGUCCUCCUUAUCUAAUAUUCUUUCUAAAUUAUCUGACAACGAGAUAGCCCUCUGUGGUGAUCUAAACUGGGACUGGCAGUCACCAGCCUCAAAUGCAUUUAAAACAUACUGUAACUCAAUGAAUUUUACACAGUUAAUUGAUUCUCCCACUCGUCCAAACCAUAAGUGCCCAGAAAAAUCUAUUUUAAUUGAUUUGUUUAUUACUAAUAAUCCUCAUAAGUAAGUGUACAUACUCUGUAAGUGUAUUUCCAUAUGACGUGAGUGACCACUGUGUUAUUGCAGGUGUCAGGGAUACUAGAAUUCCAAAAGUUAAACCUCGUUACAUCACAAAACGUAAUACAAAACACUUUAGUGAACAGGCCUACAGAUUUGAUCUUAAUUUUGCAGAUUGGCGCAGGGUCUCCUUAAUACUUGAUGUUGAACUAGCCUGGUCUUAUUUUGCUGAAAUGCUUAUGUCAAUCAUUGAUAAACAUGCCCCUUAUAAAAGGUAAAGAGUUAAGGGCAGGGAAAAUCCCUGGUUCUCUGAAGAAUUGUAUAAUUUAUUCAGAGAAAGAAAUUAUUAUUGGGCAAAAGCAAGAAAGCUGAACACUGAUGCUCUCUGGGCUACUUUUAGAUGCUUAAGGAAUAAAUGUACUACGUUAGUCAAGAAAGCCAAAUCUAGCAAUUAUCUUGCCCUUACAACUGAAAAUUUAAAUAACCCACGGAAAUUCUGGCAGACAAUCAAAUCUCUAUCUCCAAAUAACUCCUCUAGUCUUCCAACUUGCAUUGUGUCAGAGUCUGCCACUAUCCAUGACAGAGCUGAGAUGCUCAAUUGUUUUAAUAAGUAUUUUGUUUCUUCUGGUUUUCUUUUUGAUAAAGUAAAUACGCCCUCUACUGCACUGGCUCCACUUGCUAUUGCUGAGCCCCUUUUGGAUAAUGAAUUUAACUUUAGACCCUUCACUGUUGCUGAAGUACAUAAAGCUCUUAAGAAAUUAGAUUAAAAAAAAACACCAGGGCCAGAUAAUAUAGGUGUGUAUUUUUUAAAACUCGCCACAGAUUUUAUUGCAGAGCCACUGACCUACAUUUUUAAUUUAACUCUAACUAGUAAGAAAAUCCCCAAAAUAUGGAAAACGGCUCACGUUCUUCCCCUCUUAAAAGGUGGUGAACCGUUCGAGCCUCAAUAACUACAGGCCUAUUUCAAAUCUGUCUCCUUUAGCCAAGAUUUUAGAAAGCCUGGUUAGUGAUCAGUUGAAGGAUUUCUUGAGUCUGAAUGAAAUUUUAUCUUGUCAUCAAUCUGGUUUUAGAAAAUCACACAGUACAGUCACAGCAACUACUAAAAUAGUAAAUUAUAUUUUUAUGGCCCUGGAUAGCAAACAACACUGUGCUUGUCUUUUUAUUGAUUUUGCCAAGGUCUUCGAUACGGUGGACCAUGAUGUAUUAUUGCAUAGACUGGCUAAUAUAGGAUUGUCUAAUUCUGCUGUUGGUUGGUUUUCUAACUAUCUUUCAGACAGGACUCAAUGUGUUAAAAUUGAUGGCUGCUCCUCUGAUACUUUGGCUGUCCACAAUGGGGUGCCACAAGGCUCUAUAUUAGGUCCCUUGUUGUUUACUAUUUAUAUUAAUGAUUUGGGGAAAUAUGUCCAAAAUGCAAAUGCCCAUUUUUAUGCUGACGAUACUAUUAUUUAUUGUUUUGGAGAGACUGGGUUAGGGUUAGGGUUAAAGGCUGUUGAUCGCUUGCAAGCAGCUUUUAAAGAAAUAGAAGCCCAACUCCUGUCUUUCAGACUGGUACUUAAUGCAGAUAAAACUAAAAUGAUGAUCUUCACUAAAUCCAAGGACAAAACUAACUGUCGGCCCACUCUAUUUACAUUUCAAGGUACUCUUAUUGUAUUGAGACCGUUUCCACAUCCUUGAUGACAAUUUUUCUUCUUUUAAACCCCAUAUCGAGAACCUGGCAAAGAAAUUAAAGGUGAGAUUGGGCUUUUAUUUCAGACAUAAAUCUUGUUUUUCUUUUGUUUCUAAAAAUGGUAAAUGGUAAAUGGACUUGGGCUUAUAUAGCGCUUUUCUAGUGAAAAGAGGCUUAUUGCUGCUACUUUUAUUCCAUUAUUAGAUUAUGGUGAUGUACUGUACAUGAAUGCCUGGUCUACCUCACUGCACAUGGAUGCUACUUAUCAUUGUGCGUUAAGAUUCAUUACCGGCUGUAAAUCACUCACCCAUCAUUGCACCCUGUACUCUAAAGUAAGCUGUCUGUCCCUGUCAGCUCGUAGGCUUCUUCACUGGUACACUUUCAUUUAUAAAGCUAUUACUGGACUACUCCCUUCAUACCUCACUUUUAAAUCAAAUCCAUCAUACAGUUUGCGCUCUCUGGACUUUCUUUUUACAUCAGUCCCCAGAACUCGUACUGAGUUUGGGAAGAGGGCCUUCAUGUACUCUGCUCCCUCCGCAUGGAACAGUCUUCAAAAAACACUCAAAUUGCAGGAACUCAUCACUAUUAGUGAUUUUAAAACUAAAAACUAAAACUGCUCUGAGAUCAGCUCCACCGUCACACACAGGACCAUGACCUCGAACAUUUUUCUAUUCUCAUAUUCUGAAUUUAAACUGCUUCAUGACUCAACGAGCGAAGAUUAACUCUUUGAUUUGGAUAUAAAUGUUUCUGUUGCAGCGCCACCCUGUGGACAUGUGUAGUGGUGCAGGUUAUUCAUUGACUCAUAUUCACAGAUAACAGUAGAAGUUGAUUCCACCUGUGCAAGUUAAAGUCUGAAGUUCAUGUUUUAACCACGAGUCGUUGGUCGUCUGACAAUAAAUCAGUCGUCUCUUUGUUGGAUCAAAACAAAGAGGAGGCUUCACUGAGUUUUUAAAAGAACUACAAACAGGAUGUCUGGAUCCGGGUGCAGAGUCAGCACCUGAAUAUUUGAUGUAACAUGAGUUGAUAUAAAAAGAGCUGAAUAACAUGCAGACUCAAUCAUUGAUAUUCAUUCAUCAUGUCAGGGUAACAACGGACACGUUAUCAAACUAUCUUUAUUUUUAACUAAUCAUUCUGAUGUUUAUUACACUUUGAUGUUUGAACCUUCUGUUUUUAUUAUAUCAGGAUUUUAAAUAGAAAUAAAUUCAAUCUGUGGAGGGUUUUAUUUGAAUAAUAAUUCAUGUUUAGGUUCUGUUGCUGCUAUCACUGCUUUCUGCCAGCAGGUGUCACUGUUUCCACAGUUUUCUCCCAGACUGAUCGAUCUGAAGAGAUUAUUUCUCUGUCAGGAAACACAAAGAAAGAUAGAUGAUGCCGGCUCUUUUAUUUGUUCUUAUGUUUUUAUAUUUCAUGUACAAGUUUAAUGUCCCUUUUUGUAAUCACUGCCCCCUAGUGGACAGGAGUGUGGAGCGAUCCAAAGGCAGAAAAAUAAUCUUUGACUGGACUUCUGUAAUGAAGUGAAGUGUGAAGGAAGUUGAGCUUUCUUUGAGUCUCUCUGUAGUUUGUAACUGAAUACUUGGACUCUUCUUCACUUUAGAGGGAACAUGUUCUCCUCUACAUUUCUUCAACACAUUCUCUACGAGUUCCUCGUCUGAUCUAAUUAACCCCAUGUUUUAAGAUGGGCUGGUGUUUCUGCUCUUGGUGUAAACCCAGACACAGUGAUCUUUCUGUCAUGUUGUUCAUGUGUGUUACUCUUGAUAAUUCACUCAAAUAAUGUCUCUAUAUUCUACAAGUGAUUUACUUUUUAAAUAACUGACACCAUGUCAACACAAAGUUUCACUGCUUCCAAUCCGCCUCUUAUACGACGGCCAUGUUGCAUAAAAAAAAACAUCAACAACUUCUGUUUAUUAAAUAUCACAGUUGGGUUUUUAUUAAGACUGUACAUUAAUAUUCUUCUUCUUUGAAAUUAAACUUAAUUUGACUCAAA
Molecule: long non-coding RNA, 6008 nt
Organism: Labrus mixtus (cuckoo wrasse)
Lineage: Eukaryota; Metazoa; Chordata; Actinopteri; Labriformes; Labridae
Exons: 3
Source: RefSeq, a predicted model, not a curated record